Molecule: long non-coding RNA, 545 nt
Organism: Protobothrops mucrosquamatus (brown spotted pit viper)
Lineage: Eukaryota; Metazoa; Chordata; Lepidosauria; Squamata; Viperidae
Exons: 3
Source: RefSeq, a predicted model, not a curated record
UGAUUUCGAACGCCGCGAUCUCAAGGGCCGAUCGAAAAGCCAGCCGUACGCGCUGGCUUAAAAGCGAUCAGAAAGCUUUAUUUCUAAAAAGCUGGUUACGCUGUCUUAACUUUUUUUCUGUUUCAAUGGUUUAGAAAAGUAUUUUGGCCCCUGAAGAAGGUACGGUCGCCUUUAUGCCUUUGAGUAUAACUGAGUAUAAUACGAUUCUCCCUUCAGCCUGGAGAAUUGCCCUCUUCCAAAAUGGCAAACGGGGGAAGGCAGGCAGAGAACAGUCAUAGAUGUUGGAAAAAAGAGGAUCAGUUGCUUUUUCCGUUUCCUUUCCACGCUUGCUGAAAAAGUAUGGAAACUGCAAUCCAAUACCUUUGAAGACAACAGGGGAGGCUGGUCCAAGAAUGCAUUCUUCAGUUAUAUAAUCAAGAAUAUAUCAUGAGAAAUCAUGGACUAGAAGACAGAAAAUGGAAUUAAAAUUACUGGGAAAAUCAUUAACAACUUCAGAUAUGCUGACGAUUCUUUGAAAGAUGUUUUAGAGAAUGUCUUGCUGAAAA